RNAcentral lists this long non-coding RNA (13998 nucleotides) under Setaria viridis. RNAcentral describes it as "long non-coding RNA (SVIR_LNC000291)". The record is from RNAcentral. Lineage: Eukaryota; Viridiplantae; Streptophyta; Magnoliopsida; Poales; Poaceae.
CCGAUCACCUCUUUAGCAAGGGGGUAACCGAUCAGGACCCACACGUCAAGGGCUCAGACUUAUCCCGACCCUGGGCACUAAGGUCGGACGAGGCGGAGAUCCUCCUUUGGAGGGGUCGGGCACGUCCGACCCCGAGCCUCAGGGGUCGGGCGAGGCGGAGAUCCUCCCUUGGAGGGUCGGGCGCGUCCGAUCCCAAGCCUCAGGGGUCGGGCGAGGUGGAACUCCAAGGAUCAAUCGGCCGAUCCUCGACUGUAGCAUCUAUUGGCCGAUCCUUGACUGUAGCAGCAAUCGGCCAAUUCCCAAUCAUCGCCCUUGUAUCUCACCGCAUCUUCCGAUCUUUUCUUCUCCUAACGCCGAUUUUACACGUGUCAAAAUCUGGCGUCAACACAUGCCCCCCAGUUUUGGAGUAAAACAUAGUCUUUACUUUGAAAUUCUUUUCAACUUCCCAUCCGAAACAGACGCCAUGAAAACAUCCUUCGGUUUUGCGGUCUCCAACCUGAUGAUUGCAAUUUUUUCGAAACGGGCGCCCACGACAACCACUACUCCCAAAAAACUCGAAACGCCGGCGCGGUAAAAAUUCCACUUUUACCCCUUCUCAGACCUUCUUUAAAUAUCAGCACAUCCUGUACACUUUACGAGCUCACGUCCUUCUUCUCCAGCGCACAGGCUUUCUUCUUCCUCCAACACUUUCCUCAAUCCUCCAAUUCUCCAGUGUCCCCUUCCCUUCGCAUUCUCUCCUACAUUCCAAUGGCGGCACCUUCAGGCACCUCACAAACGCGCGAAGCUCCAGAAAUGGCGCCUUCGGUGGAGAUUCCAGUAGCGACAGUGGCGACUCCAUUGACGGAAGAAGGAGCUCCAUUGGCGAAAGCUGAAGCCUCAUCCGAGAUCCCAUUGGCGGCUUCAUCAUCUGCAGCUGCACCGGCGACUCCGCCGAUUACGAGGAGCUUCAUCCCGAAGGUAAUUACCGAAACCUUCCUUUAUCAGUAGUGCAUUUACCUUAGAUCUAUUUCUUAACCUCGCACCCCCUUUUCCUUUUUAGGCAGUUAGGCAUCGCACCACCAUUCGCUUUACAGAAAGCCUCAGCCUUAUCUGCCUCGGACCCAUGGGGAACCCAUAUCCAACCGACCUGAUCAACUUGGAAACCCAUAGGAUUCCCUUCAAGCAAUCAACCAUGGACUUAGAUCACUGGUUGGGUACUUUUAGGUCUUGGCCGAAUGAAACUCUUGGUUGGAGGGAAUGGUACCAGUGGAUAGCCGCCUCCAAGAAGCUCCAAUGGGACGAGCUCAAAAUUGGCCAAUGCAUCGACCUAUCCUUGUCCCAAAUGGAACGGAAUGAGCUGUUAGUGAUGGCAGCUUCUUACUUUUGGUCUGAUGCUCUCAACGCAUUCUUGUUUGGACACGGACCCAUGACCCCCACAUUGGCCGAUGUAGUCUUGCUGACCGGCCUGGACAUCACUUCCCCGGACACUCCUUUCCGCCUUAUAGCCGCAACAUCACAUCGGCUGGACACAAGGGGAAUCGGUGGGUGGAAAGGCUUCAUUAGAUGCAACAAAAGGGCCGGAUCUGUCGAGAACAGAGAGUAUACGGCCUUCCUGAUGAUGUGGCUAGAGAAGCACUUCUUCUGUGGGAGAGCAGCUGGUCCAUCUACCAAUACCCAAGCUCUGGCCGAAGCACUAUCAAUAGGGACUUCGGUUCCUCUCGGAAAGCACUUACUAGGAGCAAUCUACCACAUGCUUCAUCAAAUCGGUAUCAAGCUAUCCCAAAGGGAACCGAUUGGAAACCCAGGUGGGCCCUGGUGGUUCAUUAACUUGUGGCUGAACUUGUAUAUGAGCGAGAUCUCUCAGCAGCGAGUGGAAAAUAUGACUUUCGCCAGCGUCGAAUCGGAAGAGAACCUUACUGUCCAACGCCGGUGUAUGUCCUUUGGCGAAGCGGCAUCGGCCUUCUCUGGUUGCUCAUAUUCUGCGACCAAGGUGGCCGAAUACUUCCGGUGCUUCUACAACGGCUUUAAUGAAGAUGUAACCAUCUGGUUCCCUUAUCGGAGAGAUGACUCAAUCUUCGAACUCCCUCCUUGUUUUGACUCAACCACCGGUCGAUUCGACGAAGAUCUAACAGAUGAGUUAAUUAAACCAGGGAUCUUACCGGCCAACUUCUUCUCAGGAAAAGAUGCCCCUACAUAUGAAUUCUACAAUCCUUCUGUUGUAGCACGGCAAUUCGGCAUGGGUCAACUGCCGAUUCAGGCAUACUUCAUCGGUCGAGCAAAGUUCAGAGAUGAGCUCACCAAGGGCCUCGAUACAGUCGGCUGCGAGAUCGGAUACCAGACUCUAGCACCAUAGAUCUGAAUGACUGGAUAGUAGCUCCCUUUGCCAUCCAACAAUUCAAGUUAUGGUGGGCCGAAUAGAAACAGUACCUGUUCUGCGCCUCCACAUCAACGUACUGCAACCUCUUGGAUCAAGCCAACAUCGAUCCGAACGCCGAGGUAUUUUCCCCUAACCGAUCUUCAUUCCUUUGUUAAUGCAUUUAAAUAUGUACACUAACAUCUUGCUGUUAUUCCAGUCUGAAAACCGUGUUCCCCCAACACACAGUCGAAGUGGUCGGCCGAUAGAGGAUCAUCACCCCUACACCAUUUUCCCUCUUAUUGGCUAUGAUGCCCCUUCCGUGGAUGUGAUCACCGGCCGAUCGAAGCAGGCGCGGAAGAAGGUUACCAAUAAGACCAGUCGCCGAGUACGAACUCGUAUAGAAUCGGCCGACCCUCCUCUGAUCACAUCGGCAGAAACUUUGGCCGCAUUGCCCCUUCCAGCUGCUGGAGAAGUAGAUACUCAAGUCAUCACGCAAGCUGGAGCGGCCGCUGCAUCGUUACUGGUGGAAGCUAUGCAGGUAAACUUGUUGUCUCAUCCUGCCGAUUGCCAUCCUCAUACUGACCCAUCUUAUUUUAGACUGCGCAAAUCCCUCCUGUGGACUUGCAACAAUCGGCAGCAACCCAAUCGGUCAUCUUUCAGGAAGCCGGCCCGAGCACAGCACCAAUCACGGUGGAGUCUUCUACUCAUGAUGAAUCAAUGGAACCAGCCCCUGAAUCGAGGAUAACAGCCUCCCGACCGCAACUUGAAGAAAUUCGUUUUAAGGAGGUAAGAGACUUCUUCUCCUUACUUGGCCGAUUUGCUACCAUCAUCGGCUGACUUGUCCCUCUUCUUGUCUUGUUAUUUUCCAGGAAUAAGACACUCCUAACAACAGCCUUUUCUCGUUUGCGGUCGCAUUCUCCGAUGACGAGGAAGUCGCCUCUCGCCAGGUCACCUUGAGCUCUGUUCCUGAUGACGUCCGUGCCAAACUUGCAAGCAUCCAAUCCCUUCUUCAAGAGGACAUCAGCCGAUUGGUAGAAGACGCCUCGCCGAUUCGGCAACUUUUUGGUGACGUCAGCGGGCGAGUACCAGAAGAAGCAGAAGAGGCCUUGGCGUCGGCCGCAUAUAUCGAGUCAAUGAGGAUUCCGGUCUUUAGGGCCCUGCGCCACAUGGCCGAUUGUGCCAAGUUGACCAAGACUCGUGAAGAAGAAGACACAUACAAGCGUCAAGCUCAAGAGGUGCAUCAACAGAUUCACUUUCUGGAGGACUCUCGCCUGGGGAUCGUCGGCACGAUAGAUCGCCUCAAACGCCGAAGGGUGGAACUUGCCAAGGAGAUGGAGCAAGUGACCAAGGCGAUAGACACCGAAGAGAAGAGGCUCCGGGAACUUCCCUCUGUCAUCGCCGAUCUGAAACGGGAGAGGCAGCACCUGGCUCACGAAGCCCUCAAACUCCACCGCAAUACGUCAGAAGACCCCGGAUCGGCAGAAGAUGACCAACGCGUCCUGGACUCUGCCGAUCAGAUCCGGCGCCGAGCGAUCGCGGCUAUCGAUGCCCUUUUGAGUGGUCUGUAAAAGUACUGGCAAGUCUUGUACAAACAUUUAAUACCCCCCUUUGACCGUCCUUCGCGGCGCCCCCUUUUAUUUAUUACCUUUUUAACUUCCGAUGGGACGCGUCUUACCAAACAUCCACGCCUCCCUUUCUUAUAAAUGCCAGCCUAGGCCCCCGUUCCGAGAGUACCAAUCUAGCUCGGCUUCAUCUUCCCAUCCCGCUUUCGUCGGUGCGCCUUUCAGUCAUGUCUUCUUCAUCCUCUUCCUCUUCCUCUGUUAAUCAGGUGAAAGUUUUGCCUUCAUCCUUUUUUCUUAGUUUAGAUCUUCUGAAGGGAAUCACCUUUUUGAUCGUUACUUUCCACAGCCAUGGCGCCUUAGCCCUGAACCCGAAUGAGCCAUCGAACUCAUGCACUCUGACAAACCAUUGUCGCAAGAAGACAAGAACUUAAUCAGGGCUCAUCGGGAUGAACUCCGAGAGCACGUCCGUGCUGACAUCCGACGGAUCUGGGAUUUUCUGGAUGGCAACACCCGCCGGGCAAGGGACCGGAGCCACCCUCUCCCUCGUCAAGUCGAAGCGGAGGCUACGGUGAAAGAGGUAGAAGAAGAGUACAUCCGUCUUCUGAUAGAACUAGGUCGGGCUGAGAGAGAGCGUAAGAAAAAGCGUGAUUAAUUAUUUUUUUUGUUCUAAGGGCGACUUGUACCUUGUCGGCCGUGUAACCCACCGUCCGUACCGAAUGAAAUAUAUCGGCCGAUUUGGAUGAUUACGUGUUUUCUCUAGACGACUCCUUUUGUAUCGGCUGUGUGUUGUUUAUCGUGGUCGAUCCUUUAUGCUCCGACCCAUAUACUAGGGUAGUACCUUUUCAAGUAUCUUCCGUUCAGAGCCCUGGUAAACUCUUCUCCUUCGAUUGUUUCCAGAAUAUAAGCGUUUCCUGGAGCACAUCUGCCGAUUUUAUAUGGCCCUUCCCAUGUAGGGGACCACUUACCGAAUUUAGGAUCUUUUGACCCAAUCGGCAACACUAACUUCCAAACCAGGUCCCCUGGAGAGAAUUGUUUGACUUUGACCUUCUUAUCAUACCACCUGGCCACUUUCUUCUUGUUUUCCUCGAUGCUUAUCAAAGCUCUCAAUCGUUGGCCAGCCACGUCAUCAAGUUCCCUUUUCAUGAGCGAGGAGUAGUCAUCGGCCGUUAACUGGUCCUGGAGCGAAGCGCGUCUCGACCCCGCCCUUAUUUCCCACGGUAGUACUACAUCGUGACCGUACACCAACUGGUAAGGGGACAACUUGGUGGCCCCAUGGUAAGCCAUCCUGUAUGCCCAUAGGGCUUCAGUUAGAUAUAGAUGCCAUUUUUUCGGCUGCUCCUCUAUCUUCCUCUUGAUUAACUUUAUUAUCCCUUUGUUGGAGGACUCGGCCUGGCCGUUAGCUUGGGCAUAAUACGGAGAGGAAUUUAACAAUUUGAUUCCCAUAUCGGCCGUGAACUCCUCGAAUUCUCCUGACGUAAACAUCGUCCCUUGAUCGGUUGUGAUAGUCUGGGGAAUGCCGAAGCGGUAGACGAUAUGGUCUCUUAUGAAGUCAACCAUGGCAGCCGAUGUUACGGCCCUUAAUGGAAUUGCCUCCACCCAUUUGGUGAAAUAAUCAGUGGCCACCAGAAUGAACUUGUGCCCUUUGCUUGAUGGAGGAUAAAUUUGGCCGAUGAGGUCUAUUCCCCAUCCUCUGAACGACCAUGGUUUGAUAAUGGGAUUCAUGGCCGACGCGGGUGCACGUUGGACAUUCCCGAAUUUCUUAGAAUCCUGGCAUCCCUUAUAAUAUUCGAAGCAAUCAUCGAGGAUCGUUGGCCAGUAAUACCCAUUAUUCCUGAUCAUCCAUUUCAUCUUAUGUGCCGACUGGUGGGCUCCACACACUCCUUCAUGGAUUUCUCCCAUCAGAGUCUUAGCCUCCUCCGUUCCCAGACACUUGAGUAGGAUGCCGUCAAUUGUUCGGUAGAACAAGUCGUCUUCCAGUAGUACGUAUUUGGUAGCAUGGAAACGCACCCGCCGAUCCACUUUCUUAGAUGGAUCUUUCAGGUAAUCGGCAAUUUCUUUUCGCCAGUCAUCGGCCGCGAGCUCUAGAGCCAUAGCGCCUUGAAUCGGCCGAUACCCAGAUGCGUGUUGGGCGAGCUUGUUGGCAUCCUCGUUGUGAUUCCUUGGGAUGUGUUCGAUUACUGCCGAUUUGAACUCUUUCAAAAGCUGCAGGCAAUCUUCGUAAUAAAUCCUCAAUACAUCGUCCUUGCAUUCGGACUUCCCUGUUAAUUGAUCCACAAUAAGCAUGGAAUCUCCAAAAAUUUCGACAGAAUCGGCCUUGACUUCUCUUAGCAAUUGUAAUCCCUUCAGUACAGCUCGGUACUCUGCUUGAUUGUUAGUGGCGGUCGCUUCUAUCGACAGAGAAAUAUCAUAGCUUGCCCCCCGAGGCGAUAUGAGGAUGAUGCCGAUUCCUGAUCCGACCCCACAUGACAAUGUUGGAGGUAUGCCCUAGAGGCAAUCAUAGAGAUGAUGAUAUUCCAUUUGUAUCCAUGAUUUGUAUGUUGUGUUCAUUGAAUAUCCAUUGAAGUCUACUUGAAUUGAUUUGCAAUUAUGUGAAUUGUAUGUGAAACUCUUUACUUGUAUGGUUAUUCUAAAGUUGUCCCUAGUCGGAGUUCAUGUGAGAACACACAUGAAUAUUAGACUAGCACAUGUAUUAGUUGAUGACAAUGUUUCACAAGUCAUGGACAUGGAGAUGUUGAACUAAUAAUGUGGACACAUGUGGAGACAUGUGCUAGGACUGACCCAACACGAGAAGUAGUUCUCUCUUUAAACAACAUAUACGCUUUGUCCUUAGACCUGAGAUUGUCGCAUGUAUUGUAGAUGUGGAUCGACCUACUUAGGGGCUAUCAAAUGCUACGCCGUAACAGGGUAGUUAUAAAGGUAGCUUUCGGGUUUGUCAAGAAGCAUGCUAUGAGACAUGGUCAAUCAAGAUGGGAUUUGCCCCUCUCUGAUUGAGAGUGAUAUCUCUGGGCCCCUCGAGUGAUCGGAUCCGAAAAUGCAUGGCCAUGCUACGUACGGUUAAGAGUUAACCUACAAAGGGAUUCCGAAUCACAGGAUCGAGAAAGAGCGGUCGGCUUGAAGCUAGACCAAAUAUCGUGAGGCAAAGGGAAUAGCAUGUAUAUUAUGUUGUGAUGGUUCGUCUGAUAUGAUCUUCGUGUGCGUAUAGGAGUUGGCACGUCUUGCUAGAGGCCGCUACCGACUAUUGGGCCGAGUAGGAGUACUCGGGCCAUGUCUAUACGUAUCCGAACCCAUAGGGUCACACACUUAAGGGGCUAGAAGCCCAAUUCGGAUCAGAUCCGAGUUGGAUUAGGUUUAGAAGUACUAAUGGGCCUCGGAUCCAGAGGCCCGUCAGGAACCUCUAUAAAUAGAGGGGUGGGGGCGCCCUAGGGUUUACACCUUUUGGCGAAACACACCUGCCGCGCCUCCCACGCCCUCGCCUGUUGCAACUCGCGGAUCUAGCAGUCCGACUUGCGACGCUUCCUCCCUGCACGUGUGGAUACCUUGGAGGUGUUGCGCCUGCAGCACUUGGACGAGCCGUCGACGAGCCGCCGACGAGCCACGACGAGCCGACGACGAGCCGCGGCACCGGAGGCGAUCUUGCUGCACGUGGACGAGCUGCUGAGGAGCUGCUGGACGUGACGUGAUCGACUACGUACGACUACGUUGAUCGGCUACGUACGACUACGUGAUCGUCUUCACUGCAUCGACGCAUAUCUACAUCUUCCGCACCAGUAGUGCGUCGAGUGGUAAUCCCGUGAUCCUUAUACGGCAGUUCUUCCUGGUUAUAUGCGGUAGAAAUUUUGAUUUGCGCUAGCGUAGCCUACCUCGUAUCCCUACAGACAAUCCAUCAAAAUAUAAAGUCCAAGGUACCGGUUCCACGAAGGUAGCCUCUAGUCCGCAGUGUUGGGCGAUGAAGUCGGCCAUGACCUGACCCUUGAUGGCUUUUGCCGAUUCAUAUCGAAGGUCAAACUCUGACAAAGCCAAGAUCCAUUUGCCGAUUCGUCCUUUCAAAAUCGGCAGUGACAGCAUGUAUUUUACCACGUCGUCUUUGCACACGACCACACAUUCCGCCGAUAGCAAAUAGUGCCUGAGUUUGGUACAUGAGAAGUAAAGGCAUAGGCAUAACCGUUCCAAUGAAGGAUACCUUGUUUCGGCGUCCAGAAGUCUUCUACUGACAUAAUAAAUUACCCGUUCCUUUCCUUCGAACUCCUGGACCAGAGCCGACCCAAUAGCUCAUUCAUCGGCUGAUAAAUAUAGUUUAAAUGGCUUACCAGUUUGAGGAGGAACCAAAACUGGUGGUGAGACCAAGUACUGCUUGAUAUCUUCCAGUGCCUUACGUUGCUCUUCCCCCCAUAUGAACUCCUGGUCGGGCUUCAACUUUAAUAGUGGUGUGAAAGCUUGGAUUCGCCCAGACAGAUUAGAUAUGAAUCUUCUGAUGAAAUUCACCUUGCCGAUUAGAGAUUGCAUCUCAGUUUUAUUCUGCGGGGCCACGACUUUGUUGAUGGCCGUUAUGGUCUUCUAAUUGAUUUCUAUUCCUCGCUCGUGCACCAUGAAUCCUAAGAAUUGUCCGGCGGAUACGCCGAAGGCACACUUAUUCGGGUUCAUCUUCAGCCCAUGUUUCUUAGUGCACUGCAACACUUUUUGCAAAUCGGCCAGAUGCUCCUCGUGUCCUUUUGACUUGACUACGACGUCGUCGAUGUAGAUUUCUACCAGUAUGCCGAUGAGUUUGUGAAAUAUGUAGUUCAUGGCUCUCUGAUACGUAGCGCCGGUGUUUUUUAAUCCGAAAGUCAUUACCACCCACUCGAAUAAACCAAGGUGACCUGGGCAUCUGAAGGCCGUUUUGGGUAUGUCUUCUUCGGCCAUAAGUAUCUGAUUGUACCCAGCGUUUCCAUCCAUGAAACUAAUAACCUUGUGUCCCGCGGCGGCAUCUAUCAGCACAUCGGCCGUCGGCAUGGGGUAUCCGUCCAUUGGUGUGGCCUGAUUAAGGUUCCUGAAAUCGAUGCACACGCGUAGCUUUUCGUUCUUCUUGUAUACUGGUACAAUGUUGGAGAUCCACUCGGCAUAACGGCAUUGCCGAAUAAAUUUUGCUUCGAUUAGCCGCGUUAUUUCGGCUUUUAUAUCUGGUAGGAUUUUAGGAUUGCACCGCCGUGCAGGCUGUUGAUAUGGCUGAUAUCCUAGUCUUAUGGGUAGCUGAUGUUCAACAAUAGAUCGGUCUAAUCCGGGCAUCUCAUGAUACUCCCAAGCAAAGCAAUAAUUAAAUUCUCUUAACAAACUUGUCAGUUUACAUUUGUAUUCCGGGUCUAAAUUUGCACUAAUAUAUGUCGGCCUUGGUUUGGUGCCAUCGCCUAAGUCUAUCAUUUCUAAUGAAUCGGCUGACGUGAACCCGUGUCCCAGCUUCCCAUCUUCUCGGGCGAACUGAUCCAUUUAAUCUGAGUCUUCGGAGCCGACUGCUCGGAUCGACUGUAGGCCAAAAUCGGACACCUUCAAGAAGUCAGUAUCCCAUACUCUCCCGGAUAUGCACCUGACGGUUUCGCAGCUCCACUACUGCGUGUCGGCUGCCACGAUGCUGUAUGCAGAAUCGGCGGUGACCACUUCGAUGUUGUCGCCGACCCAUUGUACGAGGCAUUGAUGCAUUGUCGAUGGGAUGCAGCAAUUUGCAUGUAUCCAGUCUCGGCCGAGUAGCAUGUUGUAGGGCCCCUUGCCAUUAAUAAUAAAGAAAGUAGUAGGAAGGGUGUUACUGCCGAUGGUGAGGUUGACGCAGAGGGCGCCGCGAGCGGGGGAUACGUUGCCCUUGAAGUCCUUGAGCAUCAUAUCUGUCUUGGUCAGGUCAUCAUCACCCUUCCCAAGCUUCCGGAGCACGGCGUAUGGCAUGAUGUUGACUGCAGCUCCUCUGUCUACCAGUAAUCUGGUGAGGGGUCGGCCGUUGACAUGCCCUUUAAGAAACAACGCUUUCAAGUGUUGCCGUUUGUCGUCUUCGGGCUUCUUGAAUGUGGCUUUCAUUGGCUCCAAAGCCAAUUGCGCCAUUUGUUCUUCUAUUGCCGAUAUGUCCUGUCGGUCAGCAGGAGUCAUAAACUCCAUCGGCAGUAUGAAAACCAUGCCGAUGUCGGCUGCCGAUUCGUCGCCUGCCGAUUCGUCGCCUCCUUUGUCAUUUCUUUUGGGGCGCCAUACCUGAGACCUACCUUCCCUCUUGUCCGUCGUGUACUGUUGUUCUUCCUCCUGCUGUUCCCACUGGCGGAGCCGCUGGAUUCUUCGUUUUUGAGACUUGGUCAAUCCAUCGGGGCACCACCUGGGGUUCACUAGUUUGGUUCGUGGUCUAGCACGUUCCCACUCUUGUCCGUGUCCUAAAGGGUUCUCGUCCGACGUCCGAGCAUCGGCCAUUUCUUCAAGUCGCCUGUGGACGUUGACCCUGUUUUUUGGCUGAUCAUGUGGAUCGAAUCUGCCCCCCGGCCCAUCAUCGCGCCUAUCUUCCGACCAGUCAUAUCGGUCACUUCUGCCCCCCAGCCAAUCACGUACUGGAGGGCGCCGAUCGUCUUGGUCGCGCCAGUUCUUGCUGAUUGGCUCUGGUCUCCCAUCUCUGGAGCGAGACCUGCUGAACGGCCGAUUGUUACGAUACGGGCCGUUGCACUCUGGGCAAUUAUCGGCCGAAGGUAACCUGAGGUUGCUUUCCCAACAGUGGAUGAAGAACGGGCAUUUCCAGUGAUCUUCAUGUCGCCGCAUUGCUUCUUCCCGGGAUCUUGAGCGUUCAUGUUGCCGCUGAUAUUUGUUGAGCAGGAAUUGGGAAGUAAUGCGUGGUUCUCCUGAUCCGCCAUCGUCGUCCUCCAUCCGUCGCUUCCCCUUGACGUCUUUAGGCGCCGCUUGAUUUCUGGGGUCUACGGCGCCACUCUUUUUAGCCGAUUCGGAUGUCAGCACCUUGGUUUGGAGCGAGUUCUUUCCUGUGUCAACCAUGUUGGUGGGGAAGGGGUGCUAAUCGAUCUUCAUCAGCUUGGCUGGUUUUGUUGGCACUUCAAAUUUAAGUCUGCCCUGCUCAAUGGCCGUCUGUAUCUGCUGCCGGAAGAUUUUGCACUCAUUAGUGUCAUGGGAGGUAGCGUUGUGCCACUUGCAAUAUUUCAUCUUCUUUAGCUGUUCGGCAGAAGGGAUAGUAUGGUAUGGCGAGAGCUUAAUCUUUCCUUCCUGGAGUAGGAGGUCGAAGAUUUUAUCGGCCUUUGAUGUGUCAAAUCCGAACGUUUCUGGCUCCCUCUUGCCGAACGGACAUGAUAUCGGCUUCUUCCCUUUAACCCAUUCUGCAAGACCGACUUCUGCAUCUUCUUCGGCCUCAACCUCUUCUAAGUAUGCCACCUUCUUCUGGAAGUUCCUUCGUGGAUCAGAAAAACGUACCUCUUGACCAGACAAUCGGUGGACGAUUUGGCUCAAGCUCUCAAACUCCUGUGAGGCGUACUUUUCUUUGAUGUGAGGCAGGAGACCUUGAAAGGCUAUAUCAGCCAGCUGUGCAUCAGUCAGAGCUAGAGAAUAGCAUUUGUUCCUGAUUUCCCGAAACCUCUGCACAUAUGAGGAUAUCGGCUCGUCGCUUCUCUGCCUGAGGCCGGUCAAAUCGGACAGUUUCAUCUCAUGUACCCCGGCGUAGAAGUAUUUAUGAAACUGCCUCUCCAGAUCGGCCCAUGUAAUUAUCGAGUUGGGCGGUAAGGUUGUGAACCACUGGAAGGCCGAACCAGACAAGGACGACGAGAAAAGCCGCACCCGUAGAGCAUCUUGCGCCGUUGCCUCUCCGCAUUGGAUGAUGAAUCUGUUCACAUGUUCUACGGUUGAGGUGUCGUCCAUCCCCGAAAACUUGGUGAAGUCAGGAACUUUAUACCAAUAGGGAAACGGCAGUAAGUCGUACGUAGACGGGUACGGUGUCCUGUAGGUGUAAGUCUGCACCUUCGACUUCAAGCCGAAUUGUUCCUGAAUCAGCUCUGCUAUACGUGCCGACCAAUCCGGCUGUUGCUGGUAAACCGUCGGCUGAGGGACUGGUACGUGCUGGUAUAUCGGCGGCGGGAUGACUUGAUGCUGAGUGAAAGUAUGUGGCAUUUGAUGUGUUAUAGCCGGCUGUGUAUUCAGGGUCGGCUGUUUGAAUGAGCCACUCGUUUCAUCAUAUAGUACGAGCUCUGCUGCUUUGCUCAUCUCCGGUGCGACAGGCUGGUACGGCGGCAUAGUUGGUCGAGUGGCUACCUGGAAAGACGCCUGGAAUUGGGGACUUCCCUGAUUGGCCGAUUGAUCCUGAACGGCCGUCGCUGAUGGUGCCCCCCAAGGCGCUGGAUUAACCGGAGGAAACUGCGCAGAGGACAGCUGAACGGGAUGUGGCUAGAGGUGUUGUGUGCCAGUAAACCCCAUAGGGAUUGAUGAUGAGGAAGCACCUGAACCCCCAACUGGAAAUUGGAUCGGCUGAGAAGCCGAAUUCGGAUAACUUUUGUUUGGUGAAAUUGGCGGUGCAUAUGUCGGUCCCUUGUACCCUUGAGAUACUCCGCUAGCCAAGGAGCUGAUGACGGCAUUGUACACCGUAUUCGCAAGCACCGGGGAUUGAUCGAUGAAAGCUUGAUAAACGGAUUGCUGAACCAUUUCGGACAUCUUGUCCAAGUCCUCGGUGAUUGUGAUCUGGCGGGGAGUUGAAAACGGAGUCUUCUUGAUAGUUUCCCCACUUCUGGUGCGACUGAAGGACUGCAGGCAUGCCUUCCGGUAGUAUGCCGUCUGCCUCUCCAGCUCUUCCUUCUGGUCGUCCCUGAGAUCUGCCUCUGUCACUUCGAUGACGUUAUCUUCGGAGACUUCAGCAGCUUUCGACAUGGUGGCGGUUGUAUUUGUCCCACCGGGCGUGCCAAAAGUGUGUUGGCGCUAGAAAUCACUGAUCGAAUUCCCAGCGUCGGACACACGACCCGGGAGAAUCUGCUUAGCUCCUGUUCGGGUGAUCGCCCUGGUGCAGUUCGCGCGGCGUGCCAGCCAAUCUGACCUGUUGAUUGGCAAGGAAAUAAACGUAUCAGUUCCCAGGGGUUGCGAUCGGCUAAAGUUCCGAUCUCAAGAAAGCUUAUCAGCGAAUCGGCCGAUUUGCGGUAAUGAAGGAAAUCGGCUAUGAAGCAACCGAUUACCAGAUAACGUUUGUAAAGAAAACUACUAGAGCAAUCUAAACAACGCUAAGGUAGCAACACUAGGAACAGAUCCGAUCGGCUAUAUGGAAAAUGGUAAAUUAAGUAACAAGAUAUAAUAAAGCCGAAGGUUCUAAUUCCAAGCUGGAUAACUGGUGAUAAAACUAGAACAAUAGGUAAAACCUAGAAUUCUAGUGAAUAUCGAUAACUAGUGAAUAAAUCUAAACAAAACGACAGCGAUGCGCCCGAAGUUAAAGCUUAGAAAUUACUCGAUAAACGGAACUUACAAGAUCAGCCGGAGGUCAAGUUGAUGCAACCCCGCCAACCCGUACGAACUUGUGAAAAAGAAGAAAAAGUGUUGGCGAAGUCGCCUGCUUGAAAGUAAGUAUGAGGAAAAAGUAGUUUGUUGUAUUGAGUUGAUUGUCUUGUUACAGAUCCAUAAGGGUGGCUAUUUAUAGCCCCGUACAAACGACUUCUUAUCCGACUAGAAUUCUAUCUCUAAAUUUAAACAGAAAAACUUCUUAUCCGACUGGAACUCUAUCCCCAAAUCUAAACAGAAAACAAAUAUUUACAAGUAUGAUUCGUACUAUGUUUACGCGCUUCAUGGGCUGACCCCCUCUUCAUCUUCAUAAUCCUUUUUAAGCCCACAUCGGCCCAACUAUUCUUAGCCUCCUAAUCGGCCGAUCACCUCUUUAGCAAGGGGGUAACCGAUCAGGACCCACACAUCAAGGGCUCAGACUUAUCCCGACCCUGGGCACUAAGGUCGGACGAGGCGGAGAUCCUCCUUUGGAGGGGUCGGGCACGUCUGACCCCGAGCCUCAGGGGUCGGGCGAGGCGGAGAUCCUCCCUUGGAGGGUCGGGCGCGUCCGAUCCCAAGCCUCAGGGGUCGGGCGAGGCGGAACUCCAAGGAUCAAUCGGCCGAUCCUCGACUGUAGCAUCUAUUGGCCAAUCCUUG